AGUUUGAUCACAUGGCUCAGAUUGAACGCUGGCGGGAUGCUUUACACAUGCAAGUCGAACGGCAGCACGGACUUCGGUCUGGUGGCGAGUGGCGAACGGGUGAGUAAUGUAUCGGAACGUGCCUAGUAGCGGGGGAUAACUACGCGAAAGCGUAGCUAAUAUCGCAUACGCCCUUCGGGGGAAAGCGGGGGACCUUCGGGCCUCGCACUAUUAGAAACGGCCGAUAUCGGAUUAGCUAGUUGGUGGGGUAACGGCUCACCAAGGCGACGAUCCGUAGCUGGUUUGAGAGGACGACCAGCCACACUGGGACUGAGACACGGCCCAGACUCCUACGGGAGGCAGCAGUGGGGAAUUUUGGACAGUGGAAACCCUGAUCCAGCCAUCCCGCGUGUGCGAUGAAGGCCUUCGGGUUAUAAACACUUUUGGCAGGAAAGGAACGGCACGGGAUAAUACCCGUGCAACUGACGGUCUACGGGAAUAACCGCAAGCUAACUACGUGCCAGCAGCCGCGGUAAUACGUAGGGUGCAAGCGUUAAUCGGAAUUACUGGGCGUAAAGCGUGCGCAGGCGGUUCGGAAGAAAGAUCUUGAAAUCCCGAGCUUAACUUUGGAGCUGCAUUUUUAACUACCGAGAAUAGAAGUGUGUCAGAGGGAGGUGGAAUUCCCGCCGAUGUAGCAUUGAAAUGCGUAGAUAUGCGGAGGAACACCGCGAUGGCGAAGGCGGCCUCUGGAUAUGCUGGCGGCAUAUUGCACGAAAGCGUGGGGAGCAAACAGGAUUAGAUACCCUGGUAGUCCACGCCCUAAACAAUGUAAACUAGCUGUUGGGGCCUUCGGGCCUUGGUAGCGCAGCUAACGCGUGAGACAGCCGCCUGGGAGUACGGUCGCAAGAUUAAAACUCAAAGGAAUUGACUGGGACCCGCACAAGCGGUGGAUGAUGUGGAUUAAUUCGAUGCAACGCGAAAACCUUACCUACCCUUGACAUGUCUGGAAUCCCGAAAGAGAUUUGGGAGUGCUCGCAAGAGAACCGGAACACAGGUGCUGCACUGGCUGUCGUCGGCUCGUGUCGUGGGAUGUUGGGUUAAGUCCCGCAACGAGCGCAACCCUUGUCAUUAGUUGCUACGAGGCACUCUAAUGAGACUGCCGGUGACAAACCGGAGGAAGGUGGGGAUGACGUCAAGUCCUCAUGGCCCAUAUGGGUAGGGCUUCACACGUCAUACAAUGGUCGGGACAGAGGGUCGCCAACCCGCGAGGGGAGCCAAUCCCAGAAACCCGAUCGUAGUCCGGAUCGCAGUCUGCAACUCGACUGCGUGAAGUCGGAAUCGCUAGUAAUCGCGGAUCAGCAUGUCGCGGUGAAUACGUUCCCGGGUCUUGUACACACCGCCCGUCACACCAUGGGAGUGGGUUUUACCAGAAGUAGUUAGCCUAACCGUAAGGAGGGCGAUUACCACGGUAGGAUU
RNAcentral lists this ribosomal RNA (1455 nucleotides) under uncultured Bordetella sp. Its description in RNAcentral is "partial 16S-23S ribosomal RNA intergenic spacer". It matches the Rfam family "Bacterial small subunit ribosomal RNA". Lineage: Bacteria; Pseudomonadati; Pseudomonadota; Betaproteobacteria; Burkholderiales; Alcaligenaceae. The record is from RNAcentral.